This is a long non-coding RNA of Micropterus dolomieu (smallmouth bass), 339 nucleotides long. RefSeq lists it as uncharacterized. NCBI's taxonomy places the organism in Eukaryota, Metazoa, Chordata, Actinopteri, Centrarchiformes, Centrarchidae. The transcript has 4 exons. The record is from RefSeq and is a predicted model, not a curated record.
UGAAGAUUACUCGACUUGACAACUACGCUCUUACUAUCUUAUUGUCAAACUGGCAAAGGACAAGUUUGGAGCCAUUCACACGGAAUACCAAAAGGCCAUCUACUAUGAGAUAGGCUUCUUAGUAUGUGCGGCAGUGGGCCUGCUGUUCGCUGUUCUGAUGCCGAUAGUCGGCCUCUUCUUCUGCAUGUGCCGCUGCUGUGACAACUGCGGUGGCGAGAUGCACCAACGCCAGAGGAAGAACGCAGACUGCCGGCGUGGCCUGCUGGGAACAUUGCUCUUCUCCACCUCACUGGUCAUCACGCCACACAAUCAUGGGGAAGACUGCUGACUUGACAGCUG